Molecule: non-coding RNA, 127 nt
Organism: Triticum aestivum (bread wheat)
Lineage: Eukaryota; Viridiplantae; Streptophyta; Magnoliopsida; Poales; Poaceae
Source: Rfam
CAAAUACUCCCUCCGUCCAGAAAUACUGGUCAGAGGAAUGGAUGUAUCUAAAUGUAUUUUAUAGUUCUAGAUACAUUCAUUUUUAUGCAUUUCUUCGACAAGUAUUUCGGGACGGAGGAAGUAGUAA